Long non-coding RNA from Cornus florida, 1055 nucleotides. RefSeq lists it as uncharacterized. The record is from RefSeq and is a predicted model, not a curated record. The transcript is spliced from 9 exons. NCBI's taxonomy places the organism in Eukaryota, Viridiplantae, Streptophyta, Magnoliopsida, Cornales, Cornaceae.
AGCUAGCCCACACGUACACACACGCGCGCGCACACAAAAUACACUCACUACCUCUUUCAUUCCCACAACACCUAGCUCUAAGGAAGAAGAGGAACAUCAAGCUGUACUUCCCAAUCUGUCCCCAAAGAAAUUAGACGGUACAUGAUCAUGAGGAAGAAGACGACAUCAAGCAUGUAGAAUUGGUGAGCCACAUCGAAGCUUCUAGCCGAAAGAGGCAAGAUCAUUUACCCCAUCUGGGCUUGAAGUCGGAGAGUGGAGCGAUCUCAACCAAUUUCGACCUCUAAACUUGAGGAUCCAGAUUUACCUUCAUUCUUCAGAAAAAAGCUUGAUCCGCUAGAGGCUUAUAUACCUGCUGUUAUAUUGUCUCAGUUGCAGUUUAAGAAUUUAGGGAAAACUCUGGAAGUUAAUCAACCAUAAUAUGUUGCCUGCCUGAGUAUAUUACGUUAUGGCCUGCAGCGUCCCUUCGUGUAAAUAUUCGUGCAAGCAGAGGAGGAGGAAAUUGAAGAGGAAAAAAGAUAGCCAAAUUUCAGCAUUCGUGGUCCCACAAAAUCCAUAAAUUCCUCCAAAAUGGGUCCAAAAAAAAGGAGGAAGGGAGAGAAAUGCUACUGUGACUACAUUAAGGAAUCAAGGAAAUAACGGAAGCUUUAGCCUUAUAUAAUAUGUGUGUAAAUUCACCCCCACGUGUCCAGGAGCAGAAGGAUCAGAAUCUCCAUGAUUCCAGUCUACAACAAAGUGUAUUCUCACCAGGAUAUCAAGUUCUCUAAAAUAAUCAAGUUCAUGUUUCAUCUUGGAUAGCUUUGAUUCAUCAUUUGGGUUGCUUUAAAUUGUUAUUGCAAGGGUUUUCAAGCUUCUUUGAGGUCAUGGCAUGAAUGGUGUAAAGGGUGUUCCUCCUCAGCUGUAAACAGAGUUAGGGCUGGUGUUGUUGUGUUUUGUUCCGUAUGAUAGACUAUGUUUUGUUUUAUAUUUCUUUAGAGUAUUCCUGGCAUGUAAUAAAUGUUAUUUCAGGCUUUAAAACUUUAAAGUUAUAAUAUAUGCGUCUUACCUAUUUACUUUCA